This 389-nucleotide ribosomal RNA is filed under the name uncultured bacterium. RNAcentral describes it as "bacterial SSU rRNA". It matches the Rfam family "Bacterial small subunit ribosomal RNA", at positions 28 to 419 of the family's 1533-position model. The record is from RNAcentral.
GACGAACGCUGGCGGCGUGCUUAACACAUGCAAGUCGAGCGGUAAGGCCCUUUCGGGGGUACACGAGCGGCGAACGGGUGAGUAACACGUGGGUGACCUGCCCUCAGCUCUGGGAUAAGCCUGGGAAACUGGGUCUAAUACUGGAUAUGACUCCACGGUGCAUGUCGUGGGGUGGAAAGCCUUGUGCGGCUGAGGAUGGGCCCGCGGCCUAUCAGCUUGUUGGUGGGGUGAGGCCUACCAAGGCGACGACGGGUAGCCGGCCUGAGAGGGCGACCGGCCACACUGGGACUGAGACACGGCCCAGACUCCUACGGGAGGCAGCAGUGGGGAAUCUUGCGCAAUGGGCGAAAGCCUGACGCAGCGACGCCGCGUGAGGGAUGACGGCCUGG